This 468-nucleotide ribosomal RNA is filed under the name uncultured bacterium. RNAcentral describes it as "partial 16S ribosomal RNA". It matches the Rfam family "Bacterial small subunit ribosomal RNA", at positions 31 to 507 of the family's 1533-position model. The record is from RNAcentral.
GAAGAAAGCUGGCGGCUUUCUUAACACAUUCAAGUCGAACGUAAAGGCCCUGCUUUUGUGGGGUGCUCGAGUGGCGAACGGGUGAGUAACACGUGAGUAACCUGCCCUUGACUUUGGGAUAACUUCAGGAAACUGGGGCUAAUACCGGAUAGGAGCUCCUGCUGCAUGGUGGGGGUUGGAAAGUUUCGGCGGUUGGGGAUGGACUCGCGGCUUAUCAGCUUGUUGGUGGGGUAGUGGCUUACCAAGGCUUUGACGUGUAGCCGGCCUGAGAGGGUGACCGGCCACAUUGGGACUGAGAUACGGCCCAGACUCCUACGGGAGGCAGCAGUGGGGAAUAUUGCACAAUGGGCGGAAGCCUGAUGCAGCAACGCCGCGUGCGGGAGGAAGGGGGUCGGGUUGUAAACCGCUUUCGCCUGUGACGAAGAGUGAGUGAAGGUAAUGGGUAAAGAAGCAAAGGAUAAAUACGGG